This 426-nucleotide ribosomal RNA is filed under the name uncultured bacterium. RNAcentral describes it as "bacterial SSU rRNA". It matches the Rfam family "Bacterial small subunit ribosomal RNA", at positions 354 to 796 of the family's 1533-position model. The record is from RNAcentral.
GUAAGGGAUAUUGGUCAAUGGGCGCAAGCCUGAACCAGCAACGCCGCGUGCAGGAUGACGGCCUUCGGGUUGUAAACUGCUUUUGUCGGGGACGAGCAAGGACGGUACCCGACGAACAAGUCACGGCUAACUACGUGCCAGCAGCCGCGGUAAAACGUAGGUGGCAAGCGUUAUCCGGAUUUACUGGGCGUAAAGCAUGUGCAGACGGGUUGGUAAGUGGUGUAUGAAAGCGUCCGGCUUAACCGGGCAAGCGUAUGCCAGACUGCCAGCCUCGAGAGUGGGAGAGGGACGUGGAAUUCCGGGUGUAGUGGUGAAAUGCGUAGAGAUCCGGAGGAACCCCAGAGGCGAAGGCGGCGUCCUGGCCCACAUCUGACGUUCAGACAUGACAGCAUGGGGAGCGAACGGGAUUAGAAACCCCUGUAGUCC